RNAcentral lists this signal recognition particle RNA (270 nucleotides) under archaeon. RNAcentral's name for it is "signal recognition particle sRNA". It matches the Rfam family "Archaeal signal recognition particle RNA". The record is from RNAcentral.
UGGCAGGCUAGGUGGGUGGUUAGCCGUCACCUGUAACCUUAAAUCGGCUAUACGAAGGACUGAAGCCUUAGAGAGGUACUUUAUUGGAUAUUAGUCUCAGUUCCAACGUUGAGGCUUUGUCCUUCAGGGUUGGUACCUUUGUGAACCGGGUCAGGGCAGGAAUGCAGCAGCCCUAAGCACUGUUACUGGCGCUUGAAGGGUAGCGAAGCUGAGGAGGUUCUGAGGUUCAACUAAUGUUCUAUUCUGUAACCAUCCUUGACAUGCCUACCU